CGAACGCUGGCGGCGCGUUUUAAGCAUGCAAGUCGAACGGGAAUCUGGCCUUCGGGCCAGAGGAUAGUGGCGAACGGGUGAGUAACACGUAGGUGAUCUGUCCUUGGAGUGGGGGAUAGCCCAUGGAAACAUGGGGUAAUACCGCAUGAGGUCUUGGAACUAUGGUUCUUAGAUGAAAGGAGCAAAUGUUCCGCUUUGGGAUGAGCCUGCGGUCCAUUAGCUAGUUGGUAGGGUAAGAGCCUACCAAGGCGACGAUGGAUAGCCGACCUGAGAGGGUGAACGGUCACACUGGGACUGAGACACGGCCCAGACUCCUACGGGAGGCAGCAGCUAAGAAUCUUCCGCAAUGGGGGAAACCCUGACGGAGCGACGCCGCGUGGACGAUGAAGGCCUAGAGGUUGUAAAGUCCUUUUGCAGACGAAGAAUAAGGCAAGGAGUGGAACGCCUUGCUGAUGACGUUAGUCUUGCGAAUAAGCCCCGGCCAAUUAC
RNAcentral lists this ribosomal RNA (489 nucleotides) under uncultured bacterium. Its description in RNAcentral is "bacterial SSU rRNA". It matches the Rfam family "Bacterial small subunit ribosomal RNA", at positions 30 to 504 of the family's 1533-position model. The record is from RNAcentral.